UUCNCCUCUAUUUUCUACCUUACUAACUUCUCACCAACAAUAGUGACCCACCCAUCGAGUGAAGUAUGUCUGUCUUUUUGUAAUAUAAUAAAAUAGUGAAAUCCAUAGAUACUAAAAAAUUAUUAUUCGUUGUCAAACUGUGUCAAAGUUUCUAAUGUUAUCAUUUCGUUUAGGCGGUUCAACCGUAUCAAUAAUUUCUAAUUACAAAAUAAAUGUGCCAGGAUAGUUUAAGGUCUAUUUACACAAAACAGUGACGUGAUAGUGCCAUAACCGUUCCGGGAUUCCACCGGUGAGGUUAAUAAUAUAAGAAUGAUAAGCAUGUUCUCACUGUCCGGUGUGUGACAUUACCGUUGCAAGCAAUAGUGUAGCCGUCACAAUGUGAUAAUGAGAUUUAUUGCGGAAGAUAUUUUUCUCGUUUCACAGUCAUAAUUUUUUAGUUAAGUUUAGUUAGUUUUCCCAGUUUUAGCUAUAAUUAAUUUUACCCAACAUCUAACG
This is a non-coding RNA of Cinara cedri, 495 nucleotides long. The record is from the annotation of a GenBank genome assembly. Lineage: Eukaryota; Metazoa; Arthropoda; Insecta; Hemiptera; Aphididae.